CGCCCUUAGAGUUUGAUCCUGGCUCAGAUUGAACGCUGGCGGCAUGCCUUACACAUGCAAGUCGAACGGCAGCGGGAGCAAUCCUGGGCGAGUGGCGAACGGGUGAGUAAUACAUCGGAACGUGCCCAAUCGUGGGGGAUAACGCAGCGAAAGCUGUGCUAAUACCGCAUACGAUCUACGGAUGAAAGCAGAUCGUUGCGCGAAUGGAGCGGCCGAUGGCAGAUUAGGUAGUUGGUGAGGUAAAGGCUCACCAAGCCUUCGAUCUGUAGCUGGUCUGAGAGGACGACCAGCCACACUGGGACUGAGACACGGCCCAGACUCCUACGGGAGGCAGCAGUGGGGAAUUUUGGACAAUGGGCGCAAGCCUGAUCCAGCCAUGCCGCGUGCAGGAUGAAGGCCUUCGGGUUGUAAACUGCUUUUGUACGGAACGAAACGGCCUUUUUAAUAGAGGGCUAUGACGGUACCGUAAGAAUAAGCACCGGCUAACUACGUGCCAGCAGCCGCGGUAAUACGUAGGGUGCAAGCGUUAAUCGGAAUUACUGGGCGUAAAGCGUGCGCAGGCGGUGAUGUAAGACAGUUGUGAAAUCCCCGGGCUCAACCUGGGAACUGCAUCUGUGACUGCAUCGCUGGAGUACGGCAGAGGGGAUGGAAUUCCGCGUGUAGCAGUGAAAUGCGUAGAUAUGCGGAGGAACACCGAUGGCGAAGGCAAUCCCCUGGGCCUUACUGACGCUCAUGCACGAAAGCGUGGGGAGCAAACAGGAUUAGAUACCCUGGUAGUCCACGCCCUAAACGAUGUCAACUGGUUGUUGGGUCUUCACUGACUCAGUAACGAAGCUAACGCGUGAAGUUGACCGCCU
This 857-nucleotide ribosomal RNA is filed under the name uncultured Comamonadaceae bacterium. Its description in RNAcentral is "bacterial SSU rRNA". It matches the Rfam family "Bacterial small subunit ribosomal RNA", at positions 1 to 874 of the family's 1533-position model. Lineage: Bacteria; Pseudomonadati; Pseudomonadota; Betaproteobacteria; Burkholderiales; Comamonadaceae. The record is from RNAcentral.